CGGAAGUAGCUUGAAAAUAAAGCCAUCCAUGUUUCCUGCUGUCUCUCUACUCCUCAUCUUUUGCACGAAAUCUGGUUGGCACACUUAUGGAACCAGUUCCCCUUGAGGGUCGAAAGUGGCCAGGAUGUUUCCCAUCUAACGUGAGAUCUGCAUUUUCGUCUCUUCCUUGUUUCUUCACCCGUGCAAAAGAGGAAGAUCUCCUUUGAAUCUGGGGACUGGCUGAGGUGUGCUGAAACAGGCUUGUGCCAGUGGAGAGACCUAAUCUGUGCCUCUCCUCUCACCUUCAUGCUCAGUGAUAUCGUGUCGGAGAGCGCCCACUGACAGCACGUCACUGGAAAUACCCCUUUAAAAAAAUCUCUCAGAGGAACCAGCAGCCGGUGCAAUUAGAAUCUUCUCCAUGCCACUCCCCACCUCUCUGGAAGCUCCAGUGCUA
Molecule: non-coding RNA, 433 nt
Organism: Puma concolor (puma)
Lineage: Eukaryota; Metazoa; Chordata; Mammalia; Carnivora; Felidae
Source: RefSeq, a predicted model, not a curated record